AUACGAAGGGUGCUAGCGUUGUUCGGAAUUACUGGGCGUAAAGAGCAUGUAGGCGGAUUAAUUAGUCAGAGGUGAAAGCCCCGAGCUCAACUUGGGAACUGCCUUUGAUACUGUUAGUCUAGAGACCGAGAGAGGUGAGUGGAAUUCCCAGUGUAGAGGUGAAAUUCGUAGAUAUUGGGAAGAACACCAGUUGCGAAGGCGGCUCACUGGCUCGGUACUGACGCUGAGGCGCGAAAGCGUGGGGAGCAAACAGGAUUAGAAACCCCAGUAGUCC
RNAcentral lists this ribosomal RNA (274 nucleotides) under uncultured bacterium. RNAcentral describes it as "partial 16S ribosomal RNA". It matches the Rfam family "Bacterial small subunit ribosomal RNA", at positions 523 to 796 of the family's 1533-position model. The record is from RNAcentral.